Molecule: non-coding RNA, 52 nt
Filed under: unclassified sequences
Description: Li+-I sequence
Rfam family: nhaA-I RNA
About the family: Acidobacteria, Alphaproteobacteria, Betaproteobacteria and Gammaproteobacteria, Verrucomicrobia, cand. division NC10.
Source: Rfam by way of RNAcentral
GGGUUCGGUUACAUGGUAACCGGAGGAAAUUUGGAUGGUCGGGCCGCUAUCC